AAACAUAUAUCCUGUACAACAGUCAGAAGUUCUUCUUAGAGGGCUGAGCACAAUAUCAAAAAAGUCCCUAUAAUAUUACAUGCAAAUCAAUUAAGGACAAUAAGGAAAAAAAUAAAAAAAAUACAAAAUAAAAUGCAGAAAUACUUCUUCACAAUAUUUUGUCUUAAAUAUAUGUAAUAUUAUAAAAAAUGAUAAAUAUACUCUAUAAUUUUCGUAACAUGAAAUGAUAAGGGACUAAAAUUAAAGUAUGAAGAAUAGUUGGAAUUUCAAGAGGAAAAAAGAAUAAUGGAGGGCCCACUUAUUUUCACGAUAUUUAAAAUGAAAAAAAUUAUUAAUCUUAUAAAAUAUUUAGAUUUUAUUUGAUUGAAAGUAAUUUAAUUAGAAAAAUUUAAAUUUAAAGGAAGUGUUAAAUUUAUAUAUGUUUAUUUAGAUUUUUAUUUAAAGUUGAAGGCAUUUUUUUAAUAGAGAAAAAAUAAAUUAAUUUCCUUAAUGUUAAAUUAUUUUUUAAAAAAUAAGUUAUUUGAAUUAAAUUAUAUAUUUAAUAUUUUAUUUUAAUCACUUUCAAAUUGGAAAAUAUCUUUAGUUUCUUUCCACAGCGUCCCACAGUAGGCUGGAUUCCCAGAUUAUGCUAGUAACCACUCAUCCAAGCUUUGCUAUCACAAGUACAAUUUGUCUUUUUUGGCAAGUCACCUCUUUCAACUCAUAAAAUUUUUACUAAAAGGGUAAUUAAGAUUCGAUCAAAUAAAAUAAUUUAUUUGACCCUUUAAAUUAAUAUAUAAUAAUUAUUUAAAUUCAUAAAUUUUUUAAAAAUAGUCACUUAAUUUUAUAAAUAUUAAUACCAUCAAUUCUCAAUUAAUAAAUUAAAAAAAAAUUAAACAUUUAAAUCUUUAAAAAAUAGUUCAAUAUCCACUGAAAUUCUUAUUGAAUAAAUAAAUUUAAUAAAAAUUAAUUUUAUAAGAAAAUAAUUAAUAUUUUCUUAAUAAAACUUAACUAUAAAACUAUGAAAAUAUAAUAAUUACUAAAAAUAAUUCAAAAUUAAUAAAAAUUAUAAGAUAUUUUCUUAAUUAAUUUACAACAUUAUUUAAAUUUCAUAUCUAUAUAAAAUAAUUAUAUUUAAAAUUUUAAUAUAUUUUAUUAUUUUUUAAUUUUUAUUACAUAUAUCAUAUCAUAAUAAUUAUAUUUUUUUAAAGACAUGUUAAAUGCUAUAAGUUUGGUUUUUAAUUAAUAAUAAAAUAAAAAAAUAUAAAUCGUUUAUAAUUUUCAUUGAUAUAAAGCAUUUUUUAAUUUACUGUUUGUUAUAAAUCUUAAUUUUAAUUUGUCUAAAACUUUUGAAUAACACUUUAUUUAUUUUAUGAAUUUUAUAAAAUUAUUUUAUUUAUUUAUAAAAAUAUAAAUUAAUAUAAAUUAUUUAUAAAAUAAAUUAUUAAAAUAUAAUAUUAAUAUUAUUUAUUUAAGAGUUUAAAUGACUAAUGAUAUUUAUUAAGGAUUUUAUUAUCACUCUAGAUACAAGAAUCUCAGAUGGGAAAUUAAAACUAGAGUCUCCAGAAUUUUCAAAGAAGAACAAAAAUCAAUAAAUCAAAGCAAAAGCUAAACUUUAUCCAUGCAAGCGGAAUCGGAGAAAAUAGUAAUUGUAGCUGUGAAAAGCUUUAUUAGCAUCUCAAUGAUAGCGAUUAAAUCAUGUCUUAUAUAUUUUCGAAACGGCAAAAUAACAGCAUCUCAUUACCCAUUUCACAUGAUUUCGUAGAAUAGAUGGAGCACUAUUAUAUAAUUUUUAUUCACUUUCUCCAUUAUAUAAUUUUAAUUUUUAUUCACUUCACUUUUAUAUAUAUAAUAAAAAAUCUAAUUUUUUAAUUAUAUUAAAUUUUAUUAAAUAUUAAAAAAAUAUUUUAAAAAUUUCUUAAAAAUAAAAUAAAAUUAUUUUGAGACAAUAAUAAAAAAUAAAUAAAUAAAAAUUAUAGAAAGGCGAAAUAAUAAAUAAUUAAUCAACAUGUAUCCUAUUAAUACAAUAUAAAUAGAAGAUGAGGAAAAAAACUAACCCAUCUCUCCCAGCUGGCUCUUCUUUUUUCUCUCUUCUCUUUAUCAUUCUUCCAUUGCCAUGCCUUCCCAAACCCAACAGCUUCACUUUGUGUUGUUUCCUCUUAUGGCCCAAGGCCAUAUGAUUCCCAUGAUAGACAUCGCAAGACUAUUAGCACAGCAUGGCGUGAUGAUCAGUAUAGUCACCACACCUCUCAAUGCUGCUAGAUUUAAAACAGUUCUUGCUCGUGCUGUAAAAUCUGGACUCAAAAUCCAGGUUUUUGAGCUCCAGUUUCCGUUCGAAAUUGCAGGCUUACCGGAAGGGUGUGAGAAUUUUGACAUGCUGCCUUCACUGGAAAUGGGCAAACAUAUGUUCACAGCUAUUAUCGAGCUUGAAAAGCAAGCAGAUAAAUUGCAUGAAGAGCUGAUCCCUCAGCCAAGCUGUAUAAUCUCCGAUAUGUGUGUUACAUGGACUACUAGAAUUGCUAGCAAAUGGAAAGUUCCAAGGAUCUCUUUCAUUGGUUAUAGCUGCUUUUGUAUGUUGUGCGGGCACAACAUGCGUGUUUCCAAGGUUCUAGAGAACAUAACCUCAGAAUCAGAAUAUUUCACUGUUCCAGGCUUGCCUGAUAAUAUCAAAUUUACUAAAGCACAGAUACCCUUCCUUGUGAAUUUGGAUGAACUCGCCAAUCGAAUUCUUGCAGCUGAAAAGGACAGCUAUGGUUUAAUUAUAAACACUUUUGAAGAGUUGGAGGCACCAUUCCUCCAACAAUACAAGAAAGCAGGGCAAUAUAAUAGAAUUUGGUGUGUUGGUCCCGUUUCGCAGUGCAACAAAGACACCUUGGACAAAGCUGAACGAGGUAAUGAGACAUGUAUCAAAGGACAUGAAUGUUUAAGGUGGCUCGACUCCUGGCAACCAGGAUCUGUAGUUUAUGCCUGUCUUGGAAGUCUUCCCAAUAUACCAACUUCACAAUUUACAGAGCUGGGCUUGGGCUUAGAGGCAUCCAACAGACCAUUUAUUUGGGUUGUAAGGGGAGGAGAAAGAUCAAAAGAAAUAGAGAAGUGGAUUUCAGAGACGGGAUUUGAAGAGAGAACCAAAGGAAGAGGUCUUGUGAUGUGCGGUUGGGCACCACAGGUGAUGAUACUGUCACACCCUGCAAUCGGAGGUUUCUUAACACAUUGUGGUUGGAAUUCAACACUAGAAGCAAUAAGUAGUGGCGUGCCUGUAAUCACAUGGCCACUCUUUGCAGACCAAUUUUGUAAUGAGAAGUUAGCAGUGCAGGUACUGAAGAUAGGCGUCAGAGUUGGAGUGGAGGUUCCUGAGAGGGGAGUGGAGGAAGGGCAGAAUGGUGUAUUGGUGAAAAAGGAAGAUGUUGAGAAGGCGUUGAAUGAUUUGAUGAAAGAAGGAGAGGAAAGGGAAGAGAGAAGAAGAAGAGUUAAAGAGCUUGCAGAGAUGGCAAAGAAAGCAACUGAGGAAGGAGGUUCUUCUUGUCUCAACAUCAAACUUCUAAUCCAAGAUAUCAUGCAGCACGUAAAUGAAGAAGCAUCGCCUCCUCCAAUUAAAUAUCCAGAAAAUUCCUAAAGUCCCUAGAAAAAUGUGGUGCUCUCUUCAAGAAGCUUCAACAAGUUUCUUCAUCCGUGCAAUUCUCAUCACCGGCGUAUGCAGAAACUACUGUACCAACUGCUAGUGAGAAUGAAGGGAACACUCGAGUGUGUGAGUGGAUUGUGUUUGAGUGGUGACAAUGUGUGCACGUGAAAACAUUUGUAUACAAUCGGUUACCGUAACAGCCCGAAACCGAACUGCUACCGGCACUAGGAUUCAGAUCGAUUUAAGGUCGCCGGAACCGUAGUAAGCCUGCUAUCCUGUUUGUGUACCUGUGAAAUCUCAUACAUGAUCAUUCUUGUUCUGUCAAACUAUUAAAACUGUUCUGAUACAUGAUCAUUCUUAUUCUGUCAAAUUAUUAAAACUGUUAUGUCCUCCAAGACUUAACUUGUGCAUGCACUGUUUGAAAAAUCUAAACACUUUCGUUUUUUUCCAAUUUAUUCCAAUUUAAUGCAAAACUUUAAAUGGUAAUAAAAUUAUUCAAAAUUUUAAAUUUUGUUACAAUCAUAUUCAAACUUAAAAUUUAAAUUGAGAUAGUGUAUUUUGUUAUAUUAAUUCAUUUUUAUAUAAAGUUGUACUCUCAAUAGUUUUAAAAUUAUAUUAUAUAAUAAAUAUAAUUAAUAAAAUUUUAUAAAUUAUACUUUUAUUAAAUAAUGAUCAAUAUUUAGAUAUAUAUAGAAAGUGCAAGAUCAUUACUUAGAUUCUUAAUAUUUAGAAAAUACUUUUAUCUUUAAAUAAUGCAUACUCUGCUUCCACGUAACUUGAACUGAAGUUAGGCUGGCUGAAAAGAGGAUAAGCAUUCGAACAGAGUUGUUCUAGAUUUUGAGCUCACGGAUAGAGCAAGAAUGAUUGCAUCACUGCUGAGCUAUUUCAUUUUGGCUGCUUCUGCAGAAUGGACAUAUACAGAUUUAAAAUCUCUUCUACUGAAUGAUUGAAGGUCAUGGAGAUUUCAAUCAUAAAACACUUUGAUAAGACUCACCAUAACAUUUCUGGAAUGAAAUUGUCUGCAAAUUCCAUCCACAUAAUCUGUUUCUGCCUGUGACCACGUAGACCUCUCUGUGCAUCCACAUAAUAUUCUAUCACUAAAGUUGUGAACCACGCCAAACAAAAAUUGGCUCGUCUUGGGCUCCUAAAACAUCAGCAAGGCCUAGUUAUCCAGCAAUUUUAAAUACGAUUACGUUUGUAUCAUAAUGAUCAUUACCCAUUUCACAUGAUUUCAUAGAAUAGAUGGAGCUCUAUUAUAUAAUUUUUAUUCACUUUCUCCAUUAUAUAAUUAUUAUAUAAUUUUAAUUUUUAUUCACUUUACUUAUAUAUAUAUACUAAAAAAUUUAAUUUUUUAAUUAUAUUAUUUUAAAUAUAUUAAAUUUUAUUAAAUAUUAAAAAAUAUUUUUAAAAAAAUUCUUAAAAAUAAAAUAAAAUAAAAUAAUAAUUUAGAGACAAUAAUAAAAAAUAAAUAAAUAAAAAUUAUAGAAAGGCGGAAUAAUAAAUAAUUAAUCAAUAUGUAUCCUAUUAAUACAAUAUAAAUAGAAGAUGAGGAAACAAAAUAACCCAUCUCUCCCAGCUGGCUCUUCUUUUUUCUCUCUUCUUUUUAUCAUUCUUCCAUUGCCAUGCCUUCCCAAACCCAACAGCUUCACUUUGUGUUGUUUCCUCUUAUGGCCCAAGGCCAUAUGAUUCCCAUGAUAGACAUCGCAAGACUAUUAGCACAGCAUGGCGUGAUGAUCAGUAUAGUCACCACACCUCUCAAUGCUGCUAGAUUUAAAACAGUUCUUGCUCGUGCUGUAAAAUCUGGACUCAAAAUCCAGGUUUUUGAGCUCCAGUUUCCGUCCGAAAUUGCAGGCUUGCCAGAAGGGUGUGAGAAUUUUGACAUGCUGCCUUCACUGGAAAUGG
RNAcentral lists this long non-coding RNA (5500 nucleotides) under Manihot esculenta (cassava). RNAcentral's name for it is "long non-coding RNA (MESC_LNC000521)". The record is from RNAcentral. Lineage: Eukaryota; Viridiplantae; Streptophyta; Magnoliopsida; Malpighiales; Euphorbiaceae.